This 458-nucleotide ribosomal RNA is filed under the name Theileria annulata. Its description in RNAcentral is "SSU rRNA". It matches the Rfam family "Eukaryotic small subunit ribosomal RNA", at positions 486 to 984 of the family's 1831-position model. The record is from RNAcentral. Lineage: Eukaryota; Apicomplexa; Aconoidasida; Piroplasmida; Theileriidae.
CGGGGCUUAAAGUCUUGUAAUUGGAAUGAUGGGAAUUUAAACCUCUUCCAGAGUAUCAAUUGGAGGGCAAGUCUGGUGCCAGCAGCCGCGGUAAUUCCAGCUCCAAUAGCGUAUAUUAAAAUUGUUGCAGUUAAAAAGCUCGUAGUUGAAUUUCUGCUGCAUUGCUUGUGUCCCUCUGGGGUCUGCGCAUGUGGCUUUUUUCGGACGGAGUUUCUUUGUCUGAAUGUUUACUUUGAGAAAAUUAGAGUGCUCAAAGCAGGCUUUCGCCUUGAAUAGUUUAGCAUGGAAUAAUAAAGUAGGACUUUGGUUCUAUUUUGUUGGUUUUAGGUACCAAAGUAAUGGUUAAUAGGAACAGUUGGGGGCAUUCGUAUUUAACUGUCAGAGGUGAAAUUCUUAGAUUUGUUAAAGACGAACUACUGCGAAAGCAUUUGCCAAGGAUGUUUUCAUUAAUCAAGAAC